GUCGCUUUAGCUCACUUGGGAGAGCGCCAGACUGAAGUUACACUUCGGUUAUCAAACAUCUGGAGGUACUGUGUUCGAUCCACAGAAGCGACA
Molecule: non-coding RNA, 93 nt
Organism: Pleomassaria siparia CBS 279.74
Lineage: Eukaryota; Fungi; Ascomycota; Dothideomycetes; Pleosporales; Pleomassariaceae
Source: the annotation of a GenBank genome assembly